This is a non-coding RNA of Styela clava, 188 nucleotides long. Lineage: Eukaryota; Metazoa; Chordata; Ascidiacea; Stolidobranchia; Styelidae. The record is from RefSeq and is a predicted model, not a curated record.
AUUAUUACUGUACUAAACAGUUAGAAUUGAAGUCAGUGUUUGACGACCAGGCCACAGAUACGAUGAAAUUCUACAUGAUAAUCAGCAUAGUUGGAUUUGCUUGUGGCCUGUUAAUGGCAAUACAAGGGGAUUCAGGUCCGUGUAUUACCAGAAUCAUAAACGGACAUUUUGUUUUUCAAGGAAAUUGC